This 58-nucleotide transfer RNA is filed under the name Cryptopygus antarcticus. RNAcentral describes it as "tRNA-Gly". Lineage: Eukaryota; Metazoa; Arthropoda; Collembola; Entomobryomorpha; Isotomidae. The record is from RNAcentral.
UAAUUAUAGUAUAUUGUAUAUUUGACUUCCAAUCAAAAGGAUCCGGUAGGAUAAUUAU